UCACGAAAGUGGAGGGUAAGAUCUACACUAAAUGUUUCAAAUCAGUGAGAUUCUUAUUCCUCCGCUUACCUGU
This is a non-coding RNA of Onchocerca flexuosa, 73 nucleotides long. The record is from Rfam. NCBI's taxonomy places the organism in Eukaryota, Metazoa, Nematoda, Chromadorea, Rhabditida, Onchocercidae.